GUCAAAAAAAAGAAGGCCGACGGCGGAUACCUAGGCACCCAGAGACGAAGAAGGGCGCAGAUACCGGCGAAACACUUUGGGGAGUCGGUAGCAGGCUUUGAUCCAAAGGUCCCCGAAUAGGGCAACCUCUCGAACUCCUUGACGAAUUCAUAGUCUAGGCAGGGGCAACCCGGUGAACUGAAACAUCUUAGUAGCCGGAGGAAAAGAAAGCAAACGCGAUUCCCGGAGUAGCGGCGAGCGGAACGGGAACAGCCUAAACUUGUGGCAACAGCCAUAGGGGUCGUGGGAAGACAGUAAAAAGAAAUAUUUAAGUAACUUUAGCUACUAUUUGUCACCACUUUCUUUUGAUUUUGCCUUUUGCUCUUGCGCAAAAGCAAGAGGUAGCAAAAUUGCUACUAUUGCUCUUGCCUGUCGCUUUUGCCUGUCGCUUUUGCGACAGCAAAAGGACAGCAAAAGGCAAUAGCAAGAGUCGCAAAAGCGAUAGAAGGUGAGCAAGAGAAGCUAAAGCAAAAGAAAGAGAUAGCAAUUGCUGUCUUUAGCUGUCGCUUUUGCCUGUUGCUUUUGCCUGUCGCUUUUGCCUGUCGCUUUUGCGACAGCAAAAGGACAGCAAAAGGCAACAGGCAAAAGGCAACAGGCAAAAGAAACCAGACGAAGCAGCUGAAUCCUGCACCAUAGACGGUGAAAGUCCGGUAGUCGAAAGUUUCGUCAAAAUAUUUUUAGUCAAAUCCCGAGUAGCAUGGGGCACGUGGAAUCCCGUGUGAAUCAGCGAGGACCACCUCGUAAGGCUAAACACUCCUGGGUGACCGAUAGCGAAAGAGUACUGCGAAGGAACGGUGAAAAGAACCCCAUUCGGGUGAGUGAAAUAGAACAUGAAACCGUCGGCUGACGAGCAGCGGGAGGGUUUAGAGCCUGACCGCGUGCCUGUUGAAGAAUGAGCUGGCGACUCAGAGGGAGUGGCUGGGUUAAGGAUUUUUCCGGAGCCCGAGCGAAAGCAAGUAAGAAAUUUGCGAAAUUGUCACUUUUUCUGGACCCGAACCCGGUUGAUCUAAUCUUGGCCAGGAUGAAGCUUGGGUAACACUAAGUGGAAGGCCGAACCGACCGAUGUUGAAAAAUCGGCGGAUGAGCUGAGAUUAGCGGUGAAAUACCAAUCGAAAUCGGAGCUAGCUGGAUCUCCCCGAAAUGUGUUGAGGCGCAGCGGCGAUGAUGGGCCAUCUGAAGGUAAAGCACUGUUUCGACGCGGGCUGCGAAAGCGGUACCAAGUCGUGGCAAACUCAGAAUUGAAGGUGUAGCCUUCCAUCAGCCAGUGAGACUGCGGGGGAUAAGCUCCGUUGUCAAAAGGGAAACAGCCCAGAUCACCAGCUAAGGCCCCUAAAUGAACGCUAAGUGGAAAAGGAUGUGAGGUAUGCUCAAACAACCAGGAGGUUUGCUUAGAAGCAGCAACUACCUUGAAAGAGUGCGUAAUAGCUCACUGGUUUAGCGUCCUUGCGCCGACAAUGCCCGGGACUAAGCGGUCUGCCGAAGCUGUGGGAUAGAAUAUAUAAAUUCGAUCGGUAGGGGAGCGUUCCGCCUGGGGUGAAGCUUUCGCGUAAGCGGUGGUGGACAGGGCGGAAGUGAGAAUGUCAGCUUGAGUAACGAAAACAUUGGUGAGAAUCCAAUGCCCCGAAAACCUAAGAUUUUCUCCACAAGGUUCGUCCGUGGGGAGUGAGUCAGAACCUAAGACCAGGUCGAAAGGCGUCGUCGAUGGAAAGCAGGCGAACAUUCCUGCACUAACUUUCAUGGGUACCGAGGGACGAAGCAGGCUAAGCUGAGACCGUUUAUGGAUUGCGGUGGAAGCAUUCGAGGCUAUGUCAGGUCGAAUAAAAACGACGCUGCCCAGAGAUUAAAUUCUUCUGUAGUUUAGAUGUUAUCCCGUUCAAAGUUUCGGCUUUGGACGUCAGUUAUGUCAUACUUCCAAGAAAAGCUUGAACACUAUUAAACAUGAAAGUUAUCUGUAUUACAAACCGACACAGGUGGGUGGGUAGAGAAUACCUAGGGGCGCGAGAGAACUCUCUCUAAGGAACUCGGCAAAUUGGCCCCGUAACUUCGGGAGAAGGGGUGCAUAAAUUAACAUUUAUGUCGCAGUGACCAGGCCCAAGCGACUGUUUACCAAAAACACAGGUCUCCGCAAAGUCGUAAGACGAUAUAUGGGGGCUGACGCCUGCCCAGUGCCGGAAGGUGAAGGAAGUUGGUUAUUGUAAUCUUGAUUAUGAGAAGCUGACGACCGAAGCCCCGGUGAACGGCGGCCGUAACUAUAACGGUCCUAAGGUAGCGAAGUUCUUUGUCGGGUAAGUUCCGACCCGCACGAAAGGCGUAACGAUUUGGGCACUGUCUCGGAGAGAGACUCGGUGAAAUAGACUUGUCCGUGAAGAUGCGGACUACUUGCACCUGGACAGAAAGACCCUAUGAAGCUUGACUGUAAUCUGGGACUGGUUUCGGGCCUUUCUUGCGCAGCCUAGGUGGGAGGCAUUGAUAGUCCCCUUCCGGGGGGAUUGGAGCCGUCAUUGAGAGACCACUCUGGGAGGGCUAGAAUCCUAAUGGUGAUCCUUGAAUCAGGACGCUUGACAGUUCCAGACGGGCAGUUUUUCUGGGGCGGAAGCCUCCUAAAUGGUAACGGAGGCGCGCAAAGGUUCUCUCAGUCUGGACGGAAAUCAGACGUGGAGUGUAAAGGCAUAAGAGAGCUUGACUGCAAGACCGACAAGUCGAGCAGGGGCGAAAGCCGGCCUUAGUGAUCCGACGGUUCCAUGUGGAAGGGCCGUCGCUCAACGGAUAAAAGUUACUCUAGGGAUAACAGGCUAAUCUUGUCAGAGAGUCCAUAUCGACGACACGGUUUGGCACCUCGAUGUCGGCUCUUCACGGCUCAGGGCUGUAGUAGGUCCUAAGAGUCGGGCUGUUCGCCCGUUAAAGUGGAACGUGAGCUGGGUUCAGAACGUCGCAAGACAGUUCGGUCCAUAUCCGGUGUAAGCGCAAGAGCGUUGAGAGGAUUCUUUUCUAGUACGAGAGGACCGAAAAGAACAUGCCUAUGGUGUACCGGUUCUCACUCCAGUGGGAAACGCCGGGUAGCUAUGCAUGGAGAGGAUAACCGCUGAAAGCAUCUAAGUGGGAGGCCCACCUCAAGAUGAGCGCUCUCCAUUAGGCCGCGGCUAGACCAGCCGUUCGAUAGGCAUCAGGUAUAAGCGCUGUGAGGCGUUCAGCUGAGAUGUACUAAAGGCCGAGCGACUUUGAC
This 3262-nucleotide ribosomal RNA is filed under the name Johansenicoccus eremophilus. RNAcentral's name for it is "Chlorophyceae sp. KF-2023a large subunit ribosomal RNA". It matches the Rfam family "Bacterial large subunit ribosomal RNA". Lineage: Eukaryota; Viridiplantae; Chlorophyta; Chlorophyceae; Sphaeropleales. The record is from RNAcentral.